UACGGGGGGAGCAAGCGUUGUUCGGAUUUACUGGGCGUAACGGGCGCGUAGGCGGCCACCGCAAGUCAGUUGCGAAAUCUCUGGGCUUAACCCAGAACGGUCAGCUGAUACUGCGGGGCUAGAGUGCAGAAGGGGCAACUGGAAUUCUCGGUGUAGCGGUGAAAUGCGUAGAUAUCGAGAGGAACACCUGCGGCGAAGGCGGGUUGCUGGGCUGACACUGACGCUGACAGCGCGAAAGCUAGGGGAGCGAACGGG
RNAcentral lists this ribosomal RNA (255 nucleotides) under uncultured bacterium. Its description in RNAcentral is "partial 16S ribosomal RNA". It matches the Rfam family "Bacterial small subunit ribosomal RNA", at positions 524 to 776 of the family's 1533-position model. The record is from RNAcentral.